UACGGAGGGUGCAAGCGUUAUCCGGAAUCACUGGGUUUAAAGGGUGCGUAGGCGGUUUGAUAAGUCAGUUGUGAAAUACCCCGGCUUAACCGGCGGUCGUGCGAUUGAUACUGUUGGACUUGAAUCAGGUUGAGGUAGGCGGAAUGUGGCAUGUAGCGGUGAAAUGCAUAGAUAUGCCAUAGAACACCGAUUGCGAAGGCAGCUUGCUGGACCUAGAUUGACGCUGAGGCACGAAAGCGUGGGGAGCAAACAGGAUUAGAUACCCUUGUAGUCC
RNAcentral lists this ribosomal RNA (274 nucleotides) under uncultured prokaryote. Its description in RNAcentral is "partial 16S ribosomal RNA". It matches the Rfam family "Bacterial small subunit ribosomal RNA", at positions 524 to 796 of the family's 1533-position model. The record is from RNAcentral.